CUGCUUUCUGCAGAUGCUAUUGGAAGCAGUGUAUUGUCUCCUGCUGCUUUGCAAUAACUACUCAUGAUUGUGCCUGAGCUGACACCUCUUCUUUCCCAUACAGGCACAUCCAUUCCUGUAACUGGAUGGAUUUACCAAUAUGUUCUCAAUUUGGUAACACAUUAAGACACUGUUGGUUUUCACAGAGGCAAAAAGCAGCCAACACACUCAGAGACAGUUCCUGUGUCCAUGGCCUGUGAUUUUUAUUCAAUUUUGUUCUGUUUCAGCAUUCAUAAGAUUUAAAUUACAAGCAAAUUGUUUGCCCGAUUGGUCACAUUAUUACUACAGCUCCUAGUUUGGUGGUGGACAGGAGCAGAUGUCACAUCUGAGAUGUCCUCACUCCUGACAAAGCUGGGUUUAGGGAGAGGCUCAGUUAUAGCACUGAGAAUUUUUCAUGUGGCUUCCUAGGGAUGCUGGCAACACUGCAGUGAAGCAGGAGAUCAAAAGAGCAAAAGACAACAGGACAUUUAUUUUGUGGAUUGGAAAUCUGUCACUCAUUGCAUACAGACCACACGUGGCUGUGUCUUACAUAAAAAGAAUCAAGGUGGAAGAAGCAGAAGUGAACUAGAUACUUGUUUUCUUAUUAGGACUGCCUAAAUGGCUCUUGAAGAGGUGAAUGAAUUGAUUUUCCCCUUGGCUUUUCUGGCAGCAAGCCUUGGGCUCUAAUGAGCUCAUUACAAAUAGCCUUGUGCCCAUUGCUAACAGGUGAAGAAGAGCAGAAUUUCUCUUCCUUGCCUUCUCCUUCUGCAGCAGCAGCAGCUACAGCUCUUCAGCAACACCUCACAACACUUCUUCCCCCCCAGAAAGUGACUUCCCAACCCAAGAUACGAGGCUUGGUUGGCAUUUUUUGGAGGAAGGAUGAAAGAAAAGAGAGCAGAGUUGAAACACUUCCCUCUUUUGCAAAAUCCCCAUGGUCAUUCCCAAAUGGAGAGAGAGCCUCCCACCCUAGCUGGAGGGUUGGAAGAAGCAUGAUUUUGGGUUAUGUGGGCUCUAAUGGAACCAGAAAGAUGCCUCAAUGUGUCUUCCUCCCUUUCCCCAUUCUGUUUCACAUCAGCCAGUUCCCAAGAGACUCUCAAGGCUCUCUGGAGCCUUUCCUGCAAGAAAGAGCUGGUCAGCACCCCAAGAAACAAGUGUGGAUGUAUCCUGCAGCUCUCUGGGCCAGGAGCAGCCCCUCUGGGAAACCACUAAGGAGCUUCAGUUCCUCUCUUGCUUACUUAACUGGAAAAAAGAGUAAGAGUUGCACUGAUUGCAGUCAGUAAGGAUUUCCAUGUACAAGUGGGAAUACUGUGGUUUACAAGAGUUAGAGAAGAGAAGCAUAAUGAAAGCUAAUGGUUGGAAGCAGGAUUAAGAUGGAGUUAAAUGGAAAGAAAGGGACAGAUUGUAAUGCAGGAGAUCACCUUUGGUACAAUGGAGGAGAAGUCCUCAUUCUGCAGGGCUUUAAUAGAGACCUGCUCAGAUCCUGCAAGCACACAUUGGCCAAGUGAAAGUUAUGACCUCAGCAGCCCUUCCCUUGGUGAAAACUCCCAUCUUUCCUUGUUGUGAUCAUCCAAACUGACUCUUUGCUUGCCUCAGCUUUCAUGCCACCCCUGCUUCUUUUCCUCACUUUCUUCUGAAGGGUCAUGCACUCACAUCUUUCCGGAGUCUACUGGAAAAAAAUACCUGCUUUGUUUGAGCUGUCUUCAGUUCCUUCCCUUCACCUUGUCAAAUACCAGGAAGGGCUGACUUGGAAACUUUGUCCAUUUAGCAGAACUUGGCUUCAAGUCAACAACCCCAGGCUAACAGUGUUUAUCAGGCAGUAGGAGAUCAAUUCUAAUUCCUGAACAGUUAUCAUUCUUCCUGUUGUGGCUGUUCUCCAGCACUUUUUGAUGCUGGGAAACUUUAUGCAGAGGUGUUUGCAGGAGGUAGAGAGACUGAUGUGUCCCUGCAGGUUUUACAACUGAUCAUAUCGCCCAUAACUACCUCUACUGUCUUAUGGGAGGGUGCUGUGUUUUCCUUUUUUCCCCCUAAAUGUUGGUUGAAGUUUGUGACAGCCAGCUUGGAGCAGUCAUACAAAGAGGUCUGCCUGGUUUUAAAUUGGUAUCUCAGCCUGGUUCCUGUGCUGUCACUGAGAUGGCAGAGAUGCACGCACUUGCUUUUGUUGACAAGUGGACAACACUGAAGUAAACAGAUGUACUGCUCCAAUUCUCUGUAGCAAUUGCCAGAUUAUUACUUUCCUAUUUGUACAUUUAGCCUGACCCAGUCUGCCAAGAAUCACAAGAA
Molecule: long non-coding RNA, 2298 nt
Organism: Cyanistes caeruleus (blue tit)
Lineage: Eukaryota; Metazoa; Chordata; Aves; Passeriformes; Paridae
Source: Ensembl